UGGGGAAUAUUGCGCAAUGGGCGAAAGCCUGACGCAGCAACACCGCGUGAGGGACGACGGCCUUCGGGUUGUAAACCUCUUUCAGCUCCGACGAAGCGAGAGUGACGGUAGGAGCAGAAGAAGCACCGGCUAACUACGUGCCAGCAGCCGCGGUAAUACGUAGGGUGCAAGCGUUGUCCGGAAUUAUUGGGCGUAAAGAGCUCGUAGGCGGUCCGUUACGUCUGCCGUGAAAACCCGGGGCUCAACCCCGGGCCUGCGGUGGAUACGGGCGGACUAGAGUCCGGUAGGGGAGACUGGAAUUCCUGGUGUAGCGGUGGAAUGCGCAGAUAUCAGGAGGAACACCGGUGGCGAAGGCGGGUCUCUGGGCCGGAACUGACGCUGAGGAGCGAAAGCGUGGGGAGCGAACAGG
This 409-nucleotide ribosomal RNA is filed under the name uncultured Actinomycetes bacterium. RNAcentral's name for it is "bacterial SSU rRNA". It matches the Rfam family "Bacterial small subunit ribosomal RNA", at positions 355 to 776 of the family's 1533-position model. The record is from RNAcentral. Lineage: Bacteria; Bacillati; Actinomycetota; Actinomycetes.